AACUUUCAACAACGGAUCUCUUGGUUCUGGCAUCGAUGAAGAACGCAGCAAAAUGCGAUAAGUAAUGUGAAUUGCAGAAUUCAGUGAAUCAUCGAAUCUUUGAACGCACAUUGCGCCCGCCAGCAUUCUGGCGGGCAUGCCUGUUCGAGCGUCA
RNAcentral lists this ribosomal RNA (154 nucleotides) under Simplicillium sympodiophorum. RNAcentral's name for it is "5.8S ribosomal RNA". It matches the Rfam family "5.8S ribosomal RNA". From Rfam's summary of the family: 5.8S ribosomal RNA (5.8S rRNA) is a component of the large subunit of the eukaryotic ribosome. The record is from RNAcentral. Lineage: Eukaryota; Fungi; Ascomycota; Sordariomycetes; Hypocreales; Cordycipitaceae.